CAUCCACCUGCAACUAUUCGACACAUACCACUGUACCGCUUACAACUGUAUUGUAAACGUAACGAUGGGUGAACACGUCGACUUGUGGGAGAUCGGCAAGAGACCUACUUGACUCACAUUACGUACUUAAGGAAUCUCUGAACCGGAAAUCUAAAAUCAUGAACACUUCUGAAACAGAAAUGGAUGAAAUUCUAAAAUGUGGGAUUUGUCGUUCGGAAUUCAUAGACCCCAGGCAGCUUAUGUGUGGUCACGUAUUUUGUUUCAAAUGCAUUGAAACAGACUAUAAAACACGUGAUAGAAACAAUGGAAAAUGUCCAAUAUGUCGUACAGAAUAUUGGACAAGGCCAAAUAGGGCCAUAGAUUCUUUACCGAGAUGUCCCCUGCCGUUACGUCACAUUCUGUCUUUACGAGAACGCCGAGGCCAGUGCUGCGAGUAUAUCGGUUGUCAGGGAAAUCCUGCACAAGUAAUCUGCAUUAGGUGUCAUUUAUGGCUCUGCAGUGAUUGCAAGUCCAAGACUUGCAAGAAAAAUGGAGAUGAUAUUCAUGAGGCUUUUCAACAACAUGAACUAGAGUCUAGUUUGUUUGAUAUUGUCAUCAGAAGCAGACACAAAUCGUGCAGAGAACAUAUAAAUCAGGACGUGCAGUGGUACUGCCAUCACUGUAAGUUGUUAGCAUGUAAGUUGUGUAAAAUAAACUUUCAUGUGGGCCAUGUUCCAUUGGUGACUCUUGAAGCUAGAUCACGUGAAUGUCGCGAUUAUUUAGAGAUGGUGAUCACCUCAUUAAAAAAGAAACAGAAAGAGCACACGGAGAACAAAAGAACACUAACAGAACUUAGUUCGUGUUGUAAGGAAUUCGUCGAUGUGACACAUUGCCACACAUCUUUAGACCAUUGUAAUGUCGGAUUCGAUGAAUGUGAAAAUCUCAUACUUUUGAUUUCGAAAGUAUUGGAAAAUGGAUCCAUGAAGGUCGUCGUGGAAAUGUCUUCGAACUUGGAAGAACGGAUUACCACAGAACUAGGAAAAUGUCUACUACUUGAGAAAGUCCGAGAGGUUAUUGGAACUAAACAAGUACAGACAGAACUGGAAGUAGGCGACGAUGACAAAACACAGACAAACUCUAAUGCCUGUGAAAAUGAUGAUUCGUCGAUCAACCUUUGUGGUGAUACAUGUGAAUCCUCGCUCUGUGUGAUUCAAGACAGUGCCCACUGGAUGUGUUUGCACUGUAGGAAAUGGUUGUGUAUUUCCUGUAAGAUUGCUUCGUGUGGACGGGGAGGUCACAGCGAUAUAAAACACACAGCAGAAAAAGCAUCUGACAUCGACCCGGCUCUGUACGACAUUGUAAUAAGGAGUCGAAGUUCCUCGUGUCCAACACAUUCAAAUAACGACGUAGAUUCGUACUGUUGCCAAUGUCACGUGAUAGGCUGUGAAUUGUGUUGCUAUAGGCACGCCCAUCACAACGUAGUCACCAUCGCUAAAAGGUCAAGUGCAUGUAGGCUCAACAUAGAGGAAAAGAAGAAACAGCUGGGAAAUAUGAUAUCGGAAUAUUCAGUAACAAAAGACCGAGUGUCUAAAAUCAAAAGUAACUGUCAUUUUCAUAUAUUGAACUCUGCAUAUUUUGAAAGUGUAUACACCGAUUGCGUUUUAAGAUCUAAUAAAUGUGACAAUCUCAACAAAGUCCUACACUUUCUCCUCAACUAUGCUUCUGACAGGGUACUCGUUGAAACGUUUGAUGGGAUAGAAAAUGAACUAGAGGCGGAAUUACAAAAGAUACCUUCUGACAAUUUACUGGAAAUACAAAAAAUGUUCAAUUUCGGUAUUGAAACUCUGUCGGAGAAAGUACCUAAAUGACGUUACCUAGGUGGUAAGUUUCUCUCAGCGAGGACAAAAGAAAAUCAGUUCUAAGAAAUAUAAGAAAUGUCGGACCUGAUAGAUCAAAGAGAUGAAGAGAAACUUUUGGAGUGUGGUAUUUGCCUCAGUCGUCUAAAUGAUCCUAGAAAACUUGACUGCAGACACGCUUUCUGCUUCAUCUGCAUCAAGAACCACUACAAAGCCUGUGGAAAGCGAAUGGCGCCAUGUCCAAUAUGUCGGAAGCUGUAUCCAUCCCUGGAUGCCAAAGUUGAACAGCUACCUCAAUGCUCUAUCAACUUCCAUCAGCUCUUGGAUACGAGAAAUUCCAAACAUUCAUGUGAAUCAGAACUCUGUGGGACCAUCGAUGCCCCAUUUCUUUGUUUAAAAUGUAAGAAAUGGCUCUGUUUCAGGUGCAAAGAACAAAGUAAUGAAAUAUCUUCAUGUCAGAAUCAUGAAGCAUAUCGUAUAUCGGACAUUGACGCGAGGUUGUAUAACAUUGUAGUGCAAAGUAAACACAAAUCCUGUGUAGACCAUCCGGGAUACGACAUACAAUGGUUUUGUAGACAAUGUCACAUGUUAGGGUGUAACUAUUGUAAGACGCGGCAACCACUAGAUCAUACCCUUAUUGACGUGGACAAGAGGGCAACGGAGCUCCGAGAGCAGUUUUCUGAUGUAUGCCUCCUAUUGCAGACUAAGUCAGGGGAACACGAAAUCGCUCUCAAUUUUUUCCAUGAAAUUAGAGAAAAAUUUUCUCCUUUAGGAGUCUGCAACACAUCCUUCUGUGAAACGUCAGCCAAUGAACACAAAAAGGACGUCAUAGAAUGCAAAAGCCUCAUUCAUAUAAUGAAAUACCUCACGAACUACGCGUCUGACGAAGUGGUAGUAUCCAUAUACCUCAACAUGGAGGACCAAAUUGCCAGUGAACUCGAAAAACAUCCCCUGGAAGAGGUCGUUAACAUUCCACAUUGGCUUGCGGACUCUUCUAAAGCGAUGAUGUCGACCGAGGGACGUACAAGUAUAUUAAACAAACGGGAAAUACCGAAAAAUGACACAGACAUAUCGAAGAAAAUCAACUUGGCAUUCUAUUUCAACUUAAUGGCUAUAGUUCUACUUGUUACUAUCGUGUUGGUUUUCAUAGCCUGUGUAGGUAGUGUUAUCUAUUAUCGCAGUGACGUAUGGCAAGGAAUACAACACAGACUUUCUGUUUCGGCUAUUGAGUUUAUCCACACUAAACUAGAAGGAAUGCUACAAGAAGCAUUUAAGCCUGAACUAAUUUCCCAAUAUAGAAACAUUACAGAGGAAUUUGUUGCAAGAUACGACAAAUUCCAAAAUGACUCACUUGGCAAAUGGCUAGACUUCGUGAAGAUGACUAAAGAUGAAUACUGUCACAAAAGCAAAACAAAAACGUACAGUAAUUAUGGAGGGGAUUUCAGAUUUCAAUACAAACUUGACAUUUCUACCUUCUGUAAGUAACACAGGUUUUUACAGAUAUCUGUAAAGAGUCCGAUAUCCUUUGCGACUAAUCACAAGGGUUUACUGUGUGCCUACGUGAAUGAACUAACAAAUACGUUUUACCUAUAUAUUAACGGGUUAAACAUCAACUGUUACUGUAUCACGGUACCUUAUUUCAGCGGCAUCAUUAAGAUGGAAGAAUGCAUGUCUCCAAAAAUAUAUCUAAUGUGACCAGGCACCAGUUUCAGUAGUGAUCUUUAUCUUAAACAACAUUAAUUGAUUGAAAAUCAUUACAGAAUUUUAGAAAAUUUUCCUCACUAAGAUUGUUUACCUUAAGUUAAAUAGCGAGAAAUUUGGAAAAUUUAAGAUAAUGAAAUCACUGUAGGUAUGUAACAUUGAUAAAACUGGUUAAAACUGAUUUAAACAGAAUAUCAUUUAUUGCUGCUGGGACAAGUUUUCCCAUAAUUAUGAGGGUUUUGUUUUUAUCCCAACUACAUGUAUCAAAAUCUGGUGGCUGGAUCCUAGGACUACAUUUUUCAUUCUGAGUGAUAAAAACAUGUCUAGUGCCUAUUGGUCAUGCUGAUACAUGUGUAUAUAUAAAUAUUGAAUAAAUGAUUCGCGCGUGUUUUAAAAAACGCAAGAUAAAAAUGGUUUAAAAUGUUAUCUUGAAAGCUAAAAAUUGUGAUAACAUUGAUGUUUCACUUGUUGAGGUUUUAAUGUAAUGCCAUUUGAAAUGUAUUGAGCUUAUUAUAUUAAAAUAUAUGGAAAAAAUCAAAACGUUUUCGUAUUGUUGUUAUGAUAUCAGACAUGAUAAAACAA
This is an RNA transcript of Pecten maximus, 4118 nucleotides long. It is a transcript of the gene named tripartite motif-containing protein 59-like, with no coding region annotated. The transcript is spliced from 3 exons. The record is from RefSeq and is a predicted model, not a curated record. Lineage: Eukaryota; Metazoa; Mollusca; Bivalvia; Pectinida; Pectinidae.